Molecule: ribosomal RNA, 550 nt
Filed under: uncultured Desulfosporosinus sp.
Lineage: Bacteria; Bacillati; Bacillota; Clostridia; Eubacteriales; Desulfitobacteriaceae
Description: bacterial SSU rRNA
Rfam family: Bacterial small subunit ribosomal RNA
Source: RNAcentral
AGAGUUUGAUCCUGGCUCAGGACGAACGCUGGCGGCGUGCCUAACACAUGCAAGUCGAACGGAGAAUUUCAAUAAGCUUGCUUAGAGAAAUUUUUAGUGGCGGACGGGUGAGUAACGCGUGGGUAACCUACCCAUAAAAUCGGGACAACCCUUGGAAACGAGGGCUAAUACCGAAUAAUCUUUGAGAGUGGCAUCACUCACUAAGAAAAGGUGGCCUCUGAAAAUGCUACCGAUUAUGGAUGGACCCGCGUCUGAUUAGCUAGUUGGUGGGGUAAAGGCCUACCAAGGCGACGAUCAGUAGCCGGCCUGAGAGGGUGAACGGCCACACUGGGACUGAGACACGGCCCAGACUCCUACGGGAGGCAGCAGUGGGGAAUCUUCCGCAAUGGACGAAAGUCUGACGGAGCAACGCCGCGUGCAUGAUGAAGGUCUUCGGAUUGUAAAGUACUGUCUUUGGGGAAGAAUGACUGAUUUGAAAAUAUUGAGUCAGUAUGACGGUACCCAAGGAGGAAGCCCCGGCUAACUACGUGCCAGCAGCCGCGGUAAUACA